CACUAGGCUUGUCAGGCCCUACCUAUAUGAUGACAAAAUAAUCUCCACUUCACAAAUUCUCAAUAUUUAUUUUCUCCCCUUGUUGGUCUAUGGUCCUCCAUUAAGACCUUCAUCUCAAACACAAAUUGAAAUCACAAUAUUCUCAUCACAAUUUAUAACAUCACUAUCAUUAAUCACACAUCAUCACAUAUACUCAUCACAAUCUUAUAACAUCAAUCUCAUCAAUC
Molecule: long non-coding RNA, 227 nt
Filed under: Cicer arietinum (chickpea)
Lineage: Eukaryota; Viridiplantae; Streptophyta; Magnoliopsida; Fabales; Fabaceae
Description: long non-coding RNA (CARI_LNC003440)
Source: RNAcentral